GUCCGGAUGACGCCUGUGAAUUCGUCCCUCUCUCCAUUGGAGGAUCUUUAAACACCACAGAUGUUCAAAUCCCUCUCGUUCUCUCAAGGAAAGUUUGCUUUGGGUGUGCUUGGAUCUGAUCGUGGGCUCUCAAUAUGAUAACCUCUCAGUCUCGGGUGUUAUG
Long non-coding RNA from Rhodamnia argentea, 163 nucleotides. RefSeq lists it as uncharacterized. The transcript is spliced from 3 exons. NCBI's taxonomy places the organism in Eukaryota, Viridiplantae, Streptophyta, Magnoliopsida, Myrtales, Myrtaceae. The record is from RefSeq and is a predicted model, not a curated record.